GGGAAAGAUUUAUCGGUAAGGGAUCGGCCCGCGUUGGAUUAGCUAGUUGGUGGGGUAAAGGCCUACCAAGGCGACGAUCCAUAGCUGGUCUGAGAGGAUGAUCAGCCACAUUGGGACUGAGACACGGCCCAAACUCCUACGGGAGGCAGCAGUGGGGAAUAUUGGACAAUGGGCGCAAGCCUGAUCCAGCCAUGCCGCGUGAGUGAUGAAGGCCCUAGGGUUGUAAAGCUCUUUCACCGGAGAAGAUAAUGACGGUAUCCGGAGAAGAAGCCCCGGCUAACUUCGUGCCAUCAGCCGCGGUAAUACGAAGGGGGCUAGCGUUGUUCGGAAUUACUGGGCGUAAAGCGCACGUAGGCGGACAUUUAAGUCAGGGGUGAAAUCCCAGAGCUCAACUCUGGAACUGCCUUUGAUACUGGGUGUCUUGAGUAUGGAAGAGGUGAGUGGAAUUCCGAGUG
Molecule: ribosomal RNA, 455 nt
Filed under: Rhizobium sp.
Lineage: Bacteria; Pseudomonadati; Pseudomonadota; Alphaproteobacteria; Hyphomicrobiales; Rhizobiaceae
Description: bacterial SSU rRNA
Rfam family: Bacterial small subunit ribosomal RNA
Source: RNAcentral